This 69-nucleotide transfer RNA is filed under the name Anser anser (Domestic goose). Its description in RNAcentral is "tRNA-Pro". It matches the Rfam family "tRNA". Rfam says of the family: Transfer RNA (tRNA) molecules are approximately 80 nucleotides in length. Lineage: Eukaryota; Metazoa; Chordata; Aves; Anseriformes; Anatidae. The record is from RNAcentral. RNAcentral also lists the same sequence under 3 other names.
CAGAGAAUAGUUUAUUGAAAAUGCCAGCUUUGGGAGCUGGAGAAAAAGGUUUGAGUCCUUUUUUUCUGA